Molecule: non-coding RNA, 94 nt
Filed under: Azonexus hydrophilus
Lineage: Bacteria; Pseudomonadati; Pseudomonadota; Betaproteobacteria; Rhodocyclales; Azonexaceae
Description: Glycine sequence
Rfam family: Glycine riboswitch aptamer
About the family: This family represents the bacterial glycine riboswitch.
Source: Rfam by way of RNAcentral
GCCCCCUCUGCAGGAGAGAGAGCCGUGAAACCCACGCUCCGCCGAAGGCGCAAACUCCCAUAAUCGCUCAGGCAUAACGAACUGCAGAAAUUGA